RNAcentral lists this small RNA (292 nucleotides) under Schizosaccharomyces pombe (fission yeast). RNAcentral's name for it is "5' ureB small RNA". It matches the Rfam family "5' ureB small RNA". Lineage: Eukaryota; Fungi; Ascomycota; Schizosaccharomycetes; Schizosaccharomycetales; Schizosaccharomycetaceae. The record is from Rfam by way of RNAcentral.
CCUCUUCAAUUUGUUGAGGACAGAUGAAAUGAACGUGGCUGUCCAUACCACCAUAAGUAACAAUUUUAUUCUCAGCUGAUAUAACAUCUGUAGAAGAUCCAAUGACCAUGUUUUCUCCAAUGUUAUCCAUUGUAUCCGGGUUUCCUGCUUUACCUAUACCUACGAUAUAUCCGUUUUUGAUGCCAAUGUCAGCCUUGUAGAUACCGGUAUGAUCAAUGAUUACAGCAUUUGUAAUUACAGUGUCCAAGCAUUCGUCCAUUGAUUUUGAGCUAGACUGUCCCGUACCAUCACG